Molecule: long non-coding RNA, 1324 nt
Organism: Acinonyx jubatus (cheetah)
Lineage: Eukaryota; Metazoa; Chordata; Mammalia; Carnivora; Felidae
Exons: 7
Source: RefSeq, a predicted model, not a curated record
AUUGUAACUCACAGGCAACAAAUGGAACAAACACGGGAACAGCUGCAGCAGGCAGAGCUCACCUUUAGAUACCAGUUCAUGAGAAGAAUGCUCAGGACAACGAGACUGGACGGGAUGGAACCAAAGAGGCUGCCUGAGGGAUACACGAGGCAGAAACCAAUCACUGCAAGAACCCUCCAAGGAGAGGGCAGUCUGGAUCCUGGGGACCUCCUCCGUUAACUGGACGAUUCUGCAUGCCCUACCCUGGAGACACCCCGCCCCCAUGGGCUAUUAGGCACGUCCACCUCGUGAACCUUAGUGGCCCUGAGGCCACCCGGAAUCCCUCCACCUGCAACACUUGAAUUUCAGCUCAUUUUUCCAGAGGACACACUUACCCUCCAAAGUGUACUGCACUUAAGCUGAGAAGUACCUCCGAACUAAAAUAAAUUAGCUGAACCCAACUAACAUGCUAUUUUGUAUGCAAGAGUCCUGGUCCUUUCCCAGGAUUGCCUUGCAGGCUGUACCCCGCGGACCACCCUUCACCACCAGUCAUGGGCUAUAGGCCACAUCCCCCUCCUCCAUCUACUCUAUUUGUUAAGAGGACCUGAACUGGCUGAGUGGCUGGACAACUCUGUUGAAAUUUGAAGAGGACUGUGCACGGUGACAGACAAUCGUGUUUGUAUAUAUUUUAAGAAGGUGUCCGAUCUACCUGAAUGCUUUCCCUGCCCAUCCUGUCCCCUCCACUUUGUCCUUCCUACUGUCCCCUAAUCUACCUUUCAUUGUUUUGUCUCUGUGUCAGCGUCUGCUUCUAGGGCCAUCUACUCUCGCUCCCCAUUGAGUGCACACAGGGGGGUUCCUGUACACACAGGUAACAAAGUGCCACAAAUGGUGGUGAGGGAGGAUAGAAGCAAGAUCACACUUUGUGCAGGGGAGCCUGAGGGAGUUUUCCGGGGCGAUGGGAACUCCCUAUAUCUAGAUUGAUGGGGUGCAUAUGCUCAAUUAUUUUGGAAAUAUCCCCUGACUCCAUGGUGCCUUGGGAUCAGACAGGUAUCUGUCCUUAGGAAAUGGCUGAGAUCUAAUGGUGGAGAAGGAUGAGGGACCAGCAGUGACUGUCGAGAGGAGUGAGGGUCAGACCCACGCCCAGGGUGCCAGGUCCCCACAGACAGCACCACGUGUAGGAGGGCUCUGAGGAGCAGAGAUUUCUUGAUCAGACCCAUGAACUACAUAAUCCUCCUGUAGUUUCCUCACUGAGCGAUGGCUAGAGCAGAGGCCAGCAGCUGGAGGACACCCUGAUCAUGGCUGGAGUGGAGCAGUGGGCCUGGGGGAUUGAGUCAGGGAAAGGGAC